AAGCCCCAACUCCAUCAGACUCAAACAAACAAUAAUUCCAUCAAAGAUGUUCCAGCCUUGCUGAAAGUAAUAGUAUGGAUCCAGAGCAAAGAUCUUCAACACCAUCUCUGCCGUGAAGAUUCCAGUGAACACCUGGUUUCCAACACUCAGCAUGCUGUUGAAUUCAUCAGUCAUGGGGUAGUGCUCCAGCGCCAUGAACAAUGUGUUGAGAACAAUGCAAAUGGUGAUUGCAAGGUCUAGGAAAGGGUCCAUCACCAUGACUUUAAGCCCUUCCUUCACUCUCAGCCAAGCAGGAGAACAUGUCCAAAUCAGCGUCACUGAAGAAGCUGACAGAGCUCAGUCCUCUCUUCCUGCGAGGGGGCGGGACUUCCUCCUGUAAGUCGACGGUCAGCUUGGCAGCUGGAGAGCUCUGCUCAUUCUGAAACACUGGCUCCUGUCAAUCAAAGUGGACAUCAAUACGUCAAAUCUUUUCCAAAACCUACAGUAGUAAAGCUGUAUUCAAACUAAAGUGGGACCUCAUAAGUGACUGAUUUGAAACGUUCCUCAAAAGCUGCUACUAUUGGCACGAUACUUUAACAAGCUUAC
Molecule: long non-coding RNA, 585 nt
Organism: Carassius gibelio (silver crucian carp)
Lineage: Eukaryota; Metazoa; Chordata; Actinopteri; Cypriniformes; Cyprinidae
Exons: 3
Source: RefSeq, a predicted model, not a curated record